UCUCCGUUGGUGAACCAGCGGAGGGAUCAUUACAGGACUCGAAAGACUCCUUCACCCUGUGAACCUUACUACAAGCACGUUGCUUCGGCGGGUGUCCCGGCGGGGGUUUUCCCUCGCAGGGGCGAACAGCCCGCCGGCAGCAUACUAUAUUCUGUCACUUUGCGUUUGCAACUCGAGAAAAAACAAACAAGUUAAAACUUUCAACAACGGAUCUCUUGGUCCUG
This 224-nucleotide unclassified non-coding RNA is filed under the name plant metagenome. RNAcentral's name for it is "partial contains small subunit ribosomal RNA, internal transcribed spacer 1, and 5.8S ribosomal RNA". The record is from RNAcentral.